AUGGGCAGCGGGCGCGGCCGCCUCGUCUGACCUGCGCAGCUUCUCCAGUGUCGCUCCUGUUUCCAGAAGGGGAAACACGGGAGUUGUGAGUGGGUUGCGAUGGACGGUAUGUAACGUACACAAGGGAGCCAGCGUUUAAUCCAGGUCCAGGCUUCCUCCUCGGUGGGGGGCUCCGAGCAGAGGUAGGACCAAGAAGCGGGAGGCAGCGCCUUCUGGACCCCGCGAGGGCUGCUCUCUUAAGGAAGCUGCGAGGCUCCCCGGCAGCAGCCCAGUCGGAAGUGGGGCCGACUGAAAACAGGAAACGCGGACCAGCCUUCUCACGGUGGCUCAGGCUAGCUGAACCUGAAACAGGCUGAAACUGUACCCGAGUGUACCCCAGGGCCAUGCAAAACACGCUCAGAGAGACUCUGGAAGCGUUCCUUUCGAGUUGGGGCUGGGACGCGCGCCCGCACGUGUGUGUGUGUGUGUGUGUGUGUGUGUGUGUGUGUUGGCAGCGUGGGGUGGAGGUGGGGCUAUGCCCACCCUCCUCCGGCAGCUUCCCUCUCCCACCGAGGAUGCCCCGGGUUGCUGGGAAGCUCCUUGGACAGGUUACCGUUGUAUUUACAGUCCAACACCCCUGCACCAUGCUCAUGAAAACAUAGGCAAGCCAUGGAUACUUAAAACUAAUUUUUUUUUCCUGCUUAUGAAGGUAAUUCAUGUUGGUUUAAGAAAACACAGAAAAGCACACAGGAAAAGAAUCACCCGCAGUCUUAAUCUUCAAGAGUUAAAUAAUAUUUGGUGUUGGUCUCUAUGACUAUCUGCCUUAUCUCCGCUGUGCUCUCUCGGGGCAGAAUCCAGCGUGGGAAGGACUCCCUUCCUUGUUUCUCCUCCCCGUUUUCCCGGAGGGCCUCACGUGUCUGUGUGCACAGCAGGUGCUGACCGAGCACCGUG
This is a non-coding RNA of Odocoileus virginianus texanus, 930 nucleotides long. The record is from RefSeq and is a predicted model, not a curated record. NCBI's taxonomy places the organism in Eukaryota, Metazoa, Chordata, Mammalia, Artiodactyla, Cervidae.